AAGAAAACUAGAUUGAGUAUUCAAAUCCCAGCUCUAUUACUUACUACUUGGGUGACUCUGGGGGCCCCUCCAGCUCGUAAGCUAUGAUUCCUGACUUGAAAAGAAUUGGGCGAGUGGUGAAGGAAGCUCUGGCCUGGGUCCCCCGGGUUAGUCACCUUUCCUCUCUGUUCUCACCUGCCCAGAGCAGUGUAUUGACCCUUCUGCAGGGCGGAGGGGCUGGAGGGCACUGGGGUUUUUAUCAGAUCGUCUUGCUAGGCAGCUCCUCCGCAGUCCUCGGUGUGAGGGCCGUGGGGGUUUUGCCUCUCCAGGUCUAGCGGGCCGGCUCUGCCCCCUGCUUGCUGCUCCCUGCUCCAAGGAAUACGGGCGGGGCCGGGCAGUCUGCCCAGGAGGGAGGGAAAGAAGGGCGGUGGGGGCUUUACGUGGCCGCUGCUCAAUCUGGGCGGGAGGCGGAGCUGGCGACGAGGAAGAAGCCAGAGUGAGCCCAAGUCUGGCGGGCCGAAGCUGCCAGGCUGCUGCUGCCGCUGCCGCCAGGGAGAAGUCGUCUGCUCAGGGGGCUCUCUCCAAUUCACACGUGGAAGGUUUGGUGAGCAACUCUGCACUCCCUUAUGUGAUGUGGCAAGACUUCACUCUGGAAAGACCAAGUCAAGAAAGCACAGGAUUAAAGAGUUCUUGUGCCUUUACAGCUCAGCAGAGGAAAUUUAACUCUAAAGUGAAGAGGGAGAGGCCACUACUUUCAUCAGUAUAGGGAACUAUACUCAAGGCUUGGUUGACUAGGGGUAUUGCUUAUGGAAAACUUUAUUUUCCAGGGAAGAAACUGACUGGCUGAGCUGCAGAGCACCCCAAAUGUGAACUGGGGGAGAGGCAGUCUACCUUCUCAUUCUGAAUCCACUCUAGUGUGUUAGUGAUAACAUUUUUCUUAGAGGGAAAAUUUUUGUUUAUAUUUGGCUUGGUCUAUCAAUGGGAUGUUCUUUCAUUUUUUAUCUCUUUACUGCCUUUGAGACUUUCCCAGCUAUUGAAUGUCAGAGUGAGAAGAGGAUACUUUCAUCCUCUCAAGGGGAAGAGAAGACUUACUUAUAUGAAGACACUAAAUAAGACUACCAGGUAGUACUUUGAAGGUGCCAAACAGAUGAGAUACAGUGAGCAACCAAGAGUUCAGAAGAGGGAGACAUCAGCCAGGGUAUUGGGGAAGACUAUAGAAAAAGUGGGAUUGGAAGAUGGCCUUGAAGGGUGAAUAGAAUUUGAAAAGGUACAAAUGAAGGUGAGACAUUGUAAGCUCUGUCUCAUUCCCCAAAGGGAACUUGAAUUGAGAAGCAACUGCCUGACCAGGUUUACAUGACCCUGCAUUCUCAGACUGGAAGAAGAGCCUACAGGUGAAAUACUCUGUAGUGACUCCUAGUUUGAUCAGCAGAGGACAUGCAAAGGGACUGCUGUGCUCCUUAGUCCCAGGGAUCAUGUUAAUAUUUAAUACUGUGCAGCUGGAGUUUGUCAGGAAAUGUGGUAAUGUAGGCAUGAAAAGGCAUGUGUUAUGUAGUGAGGCCAAAAUGCAACUCUGAAAAGGAAGGUUAAAUACAGGCAUUUUAGGAAAAUUAAGGACCUUGGAAAGGGAAACCACUUCUCCUUAGGAAGAAGUUUUUUCAGGUAGUAUUGGCAUUGGUAGGAAUGGGACAUAGACUUCCUUUUAAACUUCAGCCAUGGCAGGUGGGUUGUUGUUUGUUUAUUUUUUUUUUCAGUUAAACAUGUGUAAA
Phascolarctos cinereus (koala) is the source of this 1745-nucleotide long non-coding RNA. The record is from Ensembl. Lineage: Eukaryota; Metazoa; Chordata; Mammalia; Diprotodontia; Phascolarctidae.